GGGAGCUUUCCCGAGUGGCCAAUGGGGACAGACUGUAAAUCUGCUGCGUAAUGCUUCGGUGGUUCGAAUCCACCAGCUCCCACCA
This 85-nucleotide transfer RNA is filed under the name Subdoligranulum sp. DSM 23681. RNAcentral describes it as "tRNA-Tyr". It matches the Rfam family "tRNA". From Rfam's summary of the family: Transfer RNA (tRNA) molecules are approximately 80 nucleotides in length. RNAcentral also lists the same sequence under 8 other names. The record is from RNAcentral. Lineage: Bacteria; Bacillati; Bacillota; Clostridia; Eubacteriales; Oscillospiraceae.